This 494-nucleotide ribosomal RNA is filed under the name uncultured bacterium. RNAcentral describes it as "partial 16S ribosomal RNA". It matches the Rfam family "Bacterial small subunit ribosomal RNA", at positions 29 to 507 of the family's 1533-position model. The record is from RNAcentral.
ACGCACGCUGGCGGCGUGCCUAAUACAUGCAAGUAGCACGCUGAAGGAGGAGCUUGCUUCUCUGGAUGAGUUGCGAACGGGUGAGUAACGCGUAGGUAACCUGCCUGGUAGCGGGGGAUAACUAUUGGAAACGAUAGCUAAUACCGCAUAAGAGUAGAUGUCGCAUGACAUUUGCUUAAAAGGUGCAAUUGCAUCACUACCAGAUGGACCUGCGUUGUAUUAGCUAGUUGGUGAGGUAACGGCUCACCAAGGCAACGAUACAUAGCCGACCUGAGAGGGUGAUCGGCCACACUGGGACUGAGACACGGCCCAGACUCCUACGGGAGGCAGCAGUAGGGAAUCUUCGGCAAUGGACGGAAGUCUGACCGAGCAACGCCGCGUGAGUGAAGAAGGUUUUCGGAUCGUAAAGCUCUGUUGUAAGAGAAGAACGAGUGUGAGAGUGGAAAGUUCACACUGUGACGGUAUCUUACCAGAAAGGGACGGCUAACUACGUG